UUACAGAACUCAUGCCAUGGAUCAUCCCCGACAACCAUUACAUCAUUCUCACUGUCAGUAUACAAGAUCCGCCACCCUUUCUUAUGAUCUCGUAGAAAGCCUUCCAUGCUAAAUAGUCGCUCUAGUUCACUCAACAGGUCAUCAUAGCCAUUCAGUCUUGAGAGAUCAAUAGCUCUUCCAACCAAGCUGCCCUGCUUAUGAACCUUUGUACAACUCCGCUUACCAGAGUUUUGUGAGUUUGGAGUAGGUGAUUCGGCAGUCAACGAGAAUCCAAACAGCUUGCAGCCACUAGCAGUCCCAUUAAAAGAGUUAUCCUUUUGAUUUAUUAGAUUUACCCCUAAGGCUGGUGAUGCAGAAAUAGUUUCCUGUGACUUGUGCUCACUUGAUUGAUUUGGCUUUCCAACUUCAUCCCUAGCAACACCAGUCUGAAUAGAAGAUGCACCAAAUUGGAGUUUUUCUCUUGGGAAGUUAGUAGCAUAAGAACACAUUCUAGGAUCUUGGCCAGUUUUAUAUAAAUCAGCAUAAGGAAAAUAC
RNAcentral lists this unclassified non-coding RNA (534 nucleotides) under Hevea brasiliensis (rubber tree). Lineage: Eukaryota; Viridiplantae; Streptophyta; Magnoliopsida; Malpighiales; Euphorbiaceae. The record is from RNAcentral.